CAACUUUCAACAACGGAUCUCUUGGCUCUCGCAUCGAUGAAGAACGCAGCGAAAUGCGAUAAGUAAUGUGAAUUGCAGAAUUCAGUGAAUCAUCGAAUCUUUGAACGCACCUUGCGCUCUUGGGCUAUUCCUAAGAGCAUGCCUGUUUGAGUGUCUUGA
This 159-nucleotide ribosomal RNA is filed under the name Peniophorella rude. Its description in RNAcentral is "5.8S ribosomal RNA". It matches the Rfam family "5.8S ribosomal RNA". Rfam says of the family: 5.8S ribosomal RNA (5.8S rRNA) is a component of the large subunit of the eukaryotic ribosome. It is transcribed by RNA polymerase I as part of the 45S precursor that also contains 18S and 28S rRNA. The record is from RNAcentral. Lineage: Eukaryota; Fungi; Basidiomycota; Agaricomycetes; Hymenochaetales.